RNAcentral lists this ribosomal RNA (254 nucleotides) under uncultured bacterium. RNAcentral's name for it is "partial 16S ribosomal RNA". It matches the Rfam family "Bacterial small subunit ribosomal RNA", at positions 524 to 776 of the family's 1533-position model. The record is from RNAcentral.
GACAGAGGGUGCAAGCGUUGUUCGGAUUUACUGGGCGUAAAGGGCGCGUAGGCGGUCGUGACAAGUCACUUGUGAAAUCUCCGGGCUUAACUCGGAACGGUCAAGUGAUACUGUCGGACUAGAGUACAGAAGGGGCAACUGGAAUUCUCGGUGUAGCGGUGAAAUGCGUAGAUAUCGAGAGGAACACCUGCGGCGAAGGCGGGUUGCUGGGCUGAUACUGACGCUGAGGCGCGAAAGCCAGGGGAGCGAACGGG